GACGAACGCUGGCGGCGUGCUUAACACAUGCAAGUCGAACGGAAAGGCCCUGCUUUUGUGGGGUGCUCGAGUGGCGAACGGGUGAGUAACCCGUGAGUAACCUGCCCUUGACUUUGGGAUAACUUCAGGAAACUGGGGCUAAUACCGGAUAGGAGCUCCUGCUGCAUGAUGGGGGUUGGAAAGUUUCGGCGGUUGGGGAUGGACUCGCGGCUUAUCAGCUUGUUGGUGGGGUAGUGGCUUACCAAGGCUUUGGCGGGUAGCCGGCCUGGGAGGGUGACCGGCCACAUGGGGACUGAGAUACGGCCCAGACUCCAACGGUAGGCAGCAGUGGGGAAUAUUGCACAAUGGGCGGAAGCGUGAUGCAGCAACGCCGCGUGCGGGAUGACGGCCUUCGGGUUGUAAACCGCUUUCGCCUGUGACGAAGCGUGAGUGACGGUAAUGGGUAAAGAAGCACCGGCUAACUACGUG
Molecule: ribosomal RNA, 468 nt
Filed under: uncultured bacterium
Lineage: Bacteria
Description: partial 16S ribosomal RNA
Rfam family: Bacterial small subunit ribosomal RNA
Source: RNAcentral